UGUCAAUUGGGAGUUCCUCUAGGGAUGCAAACUGGAGGCACCUGACUUCUUCACAUGGCUUUGGGCAUCCCACAACAUGGAAGCUGGGCUCUAAAAGGAUUCAUCCUGUUGUAGUAGGUGAGCAUUCCAAAAGAAAGUUGCCCAGCCCUCUAAUAAUCAGGUUUCAUCCUCAUGUACCUCUUCCCCUGCAUGCUGUUGACUACCCCAUAGGUAGAGAGUAGAGGAACACUUUCUAUCUCUUGAUGAGACUAUCAGCAUGAACAUUUAGAGGGGGAAAAAUGCAGGCCAUGUUUGAAUUCACAUUCCCAUGAAUGGUUCCACCUUUGGUAGGUAGAGAAGCUAUAGAUAAUGACCAUUUACAAAUGCUCUUAACAUCUUACUGCUAGGGAACACAUGGUCAUGUAGUCGAGGUCAAAUGUUCCCUGGUGAUACAAAGCCAAAACAUAUCAGAAGCAGGUGAAAGAUACAGAGGGCUUUUUGGAGGAAGGGAGUUUUUAAGCCUAAUCUGACAGAGAAGGCAUAUACCCAGAGUAUAUACUCAGAGGUAAUAAUGCCCUGCUUCUGAGUACACAAUACAUACAACCCAGACAAUAGUCCAUGGAGUGAUGCUUUUCCACGUUGAUGUCUUGAGCAUAGAAAAAGCAGCAAGCAUAUCUUUGUGUCUCAGUGUUCCUGUAGUGAAUAAUAACAAAUGCUCUUUUCAGCUUUUGUUCCAGGGUCUAUUUUAUAAAUUCCUAUGCAUGAAUCUUGCUCAAAGCCUCAAUGGUAACCCACUCAUGGAUUUGUGACAGAGGGGGGAGGAGAUAACUGAGUGUUCAUUACAUGGGAUCCUUGCUGAAUAACGUUUGAAUACAGAGCUUGUCUAAUGACUGAAACUAAGUCAGGGUAUUAUAAAAUACAGUGUAGUCAUAGCAAACGAAAACAAAAAAAGCUCUGUAGAUGCUAAGAGUGUGGGUGCCAGAAAACAGGGCCAUAGGCUUCAAACUUGAAAGCACAGAGCUAAGAGUAUGAAAGAGAAUAGAAUAUAGAGAUCAUGGAAAAACCAUGAUCUCCCCUUGGAAUGCCAAGGAGGUUAAGCUAGGAAAGAAGUUCAGAUAGUGAAGAGUUAUGGGCCCUGUGAAGGGACACUCAGGCCUGCUGUAAAUGUUAAGGCUUUGCUGAGAUCAGAUCGGACGAUGGUUAGAGCAAACUGUUCAUCAUACACCCCUCAUAAGAUACACUCCGGUGUUGGUUUAGCAAGCUGUAUCCAUACUGUACUCUGGUGUUUUUACCCCCCCUCCACACACACUUUGAUGAACAUCCUUUGUUCACAAUCCUAAUAAAAGAUAGACCCUGCGUUUCCUUGGGGCUCUUGCUGGCUACAGCAUUAGUCAUUUCUUUGUCGUCUUCAAGUUGAUCUUGUCACAUAUGAUCACAAGAGUUUCUUUUAUGGGGAAAGUUUUGGACAGUGCACUGUUGCGUAUAUUCUCAUAGAAAUUCCAUAGCAUUAUUUAAAAUUCAUGGCCUGAGGUUGCAGUGAGUACAGAUUUAGCAUUCACAGGAGAUAGGACAGAGCUGGAAUAUGGAGCGGAUGUUAUAUAAGCAACCAUGAUCUUGGAAACAGCCAGCUAGGGCAAAGAAUAGAAGGGGAGGAAAAACGAGGAAGUGAGUAAAGUUACCCAUGGUGGCUGCUUUCAUGCAGAUUCAAUCCCCAUUUUGAUUUAAGAACCAGAUGAUCUACCCACAGAAAGGGUAAGAAGUUUCUAAUGCUUUAUUACAUACAGGAAGUUAGCUUUUUCAGAACAGCUGUGGGAGUUCCCAUUGUGUCUCUGUGGUAACAAACCUGAGUGUAGUAUCCAUGAGGACAUGGAGUCCAUCCCUGGUCCCAUUCAGUGGGUUAAGGAUCUGGCUUUACCAGAAGCUGCAGUGCAUGUUGCCUGUGUGGCUCAGAUCCUGCGUUGCUCUUGUGUAGGAAACAGCUACAGGUCCAAUGCAAGCCCUAGACUGGGAGUUUGGAUAUGCUGUGGUUGUGGCCCGAAAAAGACAAAAAAAACAAAACCACACAACUACAUGACCAGUGCUAAGGGCCUUUGAGGUCUAACUGAAAGAGGAUUCCACUGAAACACGUUACUCCUAAGGAAAGAUACUGGACCGAAAUACUCAUUUCCUCGUUUGCAAAAUGGAAAUAAUAAUGGUUGCUGGCUCAAGAGAUUUGUGUGAGCCUCUGAGGAGGUAAUAUAUUUGCAGUGUGCCUGACACAGGAGGAGUACCUAGGCAUGGUCAGCUAUUUUUAUGUCAUCCUCACCAAUAAAAAAAUAAUGUAACACCUUUAAAAAACUAAAGAUAAUAUUCGGAGUAGUAACCCAAGAAUCUUCAAGAUGUUAUUUGCUAUGUAAUUUGAAUUAAGGGGGAAAAAUACCCCAAAAUGCCCCUUUUGUGAUUGGCAAGCUUCUGGAACAUUGGUUGGAAAUCGUUCAGCCCUGAAAAUCCAAAUGGCCACCACUGUAGUCUCAUUAGUCAUUCCCUCUUUUAUAACAUGAUACUCAUUGGCGUUCCAUGGUUAGAAUUACCCAUCAUUUACUGAUGUUAUGGAGCAAUAAUAAUGCUUUCUUUGAUUUCCUUUGUGACAUUUCAUUCAUUGAAAUACACGGGGAAGACAAAGGCUAAUGAUUGGACACACUCUUCCAAGUCUUUUAGUGCAAUUACAAAGGACAAAGUACCCAGUGACAAAGAGAUUUUUUAUUUUUUCUUUUGUAAAAUGUUCACGCAUUGGUGAGGGGAAUACGCAGCAUAUGUUACACACCUGAGAUGAAGAUAUCUACCCUAUUUGACAAUUUUUCUGAGUAUGCCUCUCCUUAUUUCCCUUUUGAUAUCUUUGUUCCAAAGGCUAUGUAGACCAAAAGGUUUAACAGGGGACUCACAAAGAUAUAGAAAACUGCUAGCAUUUUGCCUUGUUCUACAGAUGCUUCAGAAGGAGGCCCCCGAUAUAUGCAGAAGAGCAUCCAUAAAAAAGAGUGACAGCCUGCAGAUGGGACCCAGAGCUGGAAAAAGCCUCGGGCCUCCCUUCAACAGAGCUGUUAACGCAGAAUGGCUGUGAAAAUAAAAACGUCAGAGGUGAGGACGAUGGUGUGAGAGAACAGCAGAGGUUGAAACCAGCUACCGCAAACAUGGCAGUCAUGUUAACAUACAUAUCUGAGCAGGGCAGGAUGAAGAGAGGUGGAUCAGCACAAUACAAGCAGUUGAUUUCAUUGGGUCCCAGGAAGGAGAGACAGGGUAUCAGGAUGGUCUGGGCUCGACCAGUUACAAAGCCAUGACUAUAAUGGUAGCCGUGAGGGAGAGGCAGAAACUUUGGGACAUGUUGCUCUCAUAGAGCAAGGGUUGGCAAACAGCCAUGGUCAGAAGCCAUGACUGUGAUCACGUCAUCUGUGGUUUGUAGGAGCCAUCAUGUGUGAUCACCAGGACGAUCAAUGAAAAAGUGGAACUGGAUAGAGCAACCAAGAAAGGAAAUUUGUUUUCCCUUCCCUUGGAUAAGAAAUGCACCAGCAUCUGAGGAGUGACCUUGGUGGCAUGACACAGACCUACAAAGCAGAGGUAGGUGGCUGAGGAAGAAGCACACUGGAGUGUGAAGCGUUGAGUCACUGUGCAUUAGCAGACUGGUAGGGACAUUGCCAAUUACUAAGGUAAGGUAGAUGACAAGGCAUACCACCAGCAGGACAGGCUGCACCUCAGCUACAUCUGUCAGUCCCGGAAGCCUCCGCUUGGUCAUCACCUCUGAGUAGUUGUCCUUUUCACAUUGUUUGCGUCCCUUGCAGUGAGGCCUGAAGUAAAGGAAAUAUGCCUGCAUUUGUCUUUAGUCUUUUUGCUGCUACUCCCAUCAUGGCAUUUGCUACUUAGCAUGUGAUAGAUGUUUUCAAUAUCUAACGUAAUGUAGAGAUCCUUUAUAUAAAAGCAGUCAUUUUUGAAUGCUUUUCUGCAAGACUUUUCACAUUGGAAAAACCUUUGUCUUUUCUGCAGAUAUCAUUAUAAAUUGUUGACUUAGUGUCCCUUUAAACAUUGCUCUUCUUUGGAUAUAUGAUCCUAUGUGUUUUAACAUGCCUUUUGAUGUGGUAUCUAAAGUGUCCGUCCUUGAGGUUCAGGGGCUUUCACAGCUGAGUGACGGUAAAGGAAGUGGAACUGAGAUAUGCACAGAUUCUAUUAGAAGCAGAGUGUGUCUAUGUGCCCCUCUAAACUCAAGGUCAUUUUCAAGGGGGCCUCUCCCCCUGUGGUGCCUAAACAGGUUCCCCACACUUGGCUAUCUCAAGUGGCCCUCAUAUACCAAGCCUUGCUUUAAGUCGUUAGAUUCUGCUCCUGAUAAGCUUAGUCUUGAGGAACACAGAAUUAUUGGGGGCAAUACUUGGUAGGACACACAAA
This 4389-nucleotide long non-coding RNA is filed under the name Sus scrofa (pig). Its description in RNAcentral is "lncRNA (ENSSSCG00050014705.1)". Lineage: Eukaryota; Metazoa; Chordata; Mammalia; Artiodactyla; Suidae. The record is from RNAcentral.